This 84-nucleotide microRNA precursor is filed under the name Spodoptera frugiperda (fall armyworm). RNAcentral describes it as "microRNA sfr-mir-14 precursor". Its record names the gene sfr-mir-14. The stretch from base 12 to 73 matches the Rfam family "mir-14 microRNA precursor family". The record is from miRBase by way of RNAcentral. Lineage: Eukaryota; Metazoa; Arthropoda; Insecta; Lepidoptera; Noctuidae.
UAUGUCAGUUGUGUCGGGGGGAGGAAUUGACUCGACUUUUUAAAUACAAGUCAGUCUUUUUCUCUCUCCUAUAUGACUGGCAUA